AGUGAACGCUGGCGGUAGGCCUAACACAUGCAAGUCGAACGGCAGCACAGUAAGAGCUUGCUCUUACGGGUGGCGAGUGGCGGACGGGUGAGGAAUACAUCGGAAUCUACUUUUUCGUGGGGGCUAACGUAGGGAAACAUACGCUAAUACCGCAUACGACCUACGGGGGAAAGCAGGGGAUCUUCGGACCUUGCGCGACUGAAUGAGCCGAUGUCGGAUUAGCUAGUUGGCGGGGUAAAGGCCCACCAAGGCGACGGUCCGUAGCUGGUCUGAGAGGAUGACCGGCCACACUGGAACUGAGACACGGUCCGGACUCCUACGGGAGGCAGCAGUGGGGAAUUUUCGCCAAUGGGCGCAGGCCUGAUCCAGCCAUACCGCGUGGGUGAAGAAGGCCUUCGGGUUGUAAAGCCCUUUUGUUGGGAAAGAAAAGCAGCAGGUUAAUACCCCGCUGUUCUGACGGUACCCGAAGAAUAAGCACCGGCUAACUUCGUG
RNAcentral lists this ribosomal RNA (492 nucleotides) under uncultured bacterium. RNAcentral's name for it is "partial 16S ribosomal RNA". It matches the Rfam family "Bacterial small subunit ribosomal RNA", at positions 29 to 507 of the family's 1533-position model. The record is from RNAcentral.